CCCAAGCAGGAUAGUGUUAGUGGGAUCCAGCUGGGAGCCGAGCCUCCACCGCAGGAGGCAUCGAUGAGGCUGAAUGAGGUGGUAGGAGCUAGGGCUAGUUGGCACUCUGCUUCCUCCCAUCUGUUUUCCUGGUGUCAGAGGGGUGCAGCGGGGAGAGAAAGCUGCCUACCCUGCAGCAACAAAGAGGGUUGCUGUACAAAUCAAAGAAAAUAAUGAAUGUUCCCUGCCUGACACAGUGUACAUAAAGGGAGAACUGCCUGUGGACUGGAAUGGAGUCAGACUGGAUGUGGCCUGAAAACUUAAAUAUAUUGAUUAUUAAUUCAUGAUUCUUAAGACCCUGUAGAAGUCUUCCUGUACAAACUCACACCCAGUUUAUGAAUUCCUCGGUCAAAUUUGUAUUCUGAAGUAAGCACAGAUUUUGGACUCUGAGAAUAUGGACCUGACGCUCAUUAUCAGUGUAAUUUGGGGCAAGUCAAACAUCGUCUGUCAUCUGAAAAAUGGGAAAAAGAAUGAUAAUAUAUGACUUACAGGAUUAAAGAGAGGUUUCAAGUAAUAUAAUAUCAAAAAUGCCUUCCCAGCUGUACAGUGAAUUUUAAUUAUAAUUUUCCUGAUAUUUAAAAGAUGGGGAGCACAGUGUGCGGUAUCUAGAAUGGGGCACAAUUCUCCGGAUGUGUUCAGACCGGCAUCUAUCACCUCCCUUGAACUGGACUCUACCUUUGCUUAGCUUUAGAUUUAUUUUUGGCCUUACAGCAAUAAUUAUAGUCCCAUCAAUGAAUGCUUACUACUGGCCACGCACACUACUAAUCCUAUUCUUCUAAAAACCUGUGAAGCAGGAAUUGUUUUCCCCAUUGUUAUAGACGCAGUCUAGAGAGUUAAGCACUUGCCCAAGUUCACAAGUUCACAAAGUUCACACUACAAGGGCCCUGGUGUGUGGGAAAAACGAGUAUUUGGCUACAGUCCUGCCUGAGGCCCUUCCACACUACCUUGCGUUAAAGUUAAAGCAAUGUCAACUCCUUAUCCUAAAUACCAAGAGGGAGUUUUCCCCUAUGUACAGUGAAAAUUUUGUCAUCUUGAUUUGUGAUUAUUUCUCAAGUAUAUCAAGAUAUAUGAAAACCUGUUUUUGUCUUCAUGUGUAUUGGACUUUAUGUAAUCUGCAAACCGAUAUGCAUUGUCAAUGUAUUCAUCAAGUCCAUUGAUAAAACAGAGUUGACUGGACGGGGCACCAGAGACCCCUCUCCAUAGUGACCAAUCCAGGAAUCUAUACCAUUUGGGUCUGGUUGUUCAGCCACUCUAAAUCCAACUUCACUGCAUUUUCAUCCCGCCUACAUUCCUUCAUCUUGCUAACAGUAGCAUGAGAAAUCUUGUCAAAUACCAGGCUAGGAUUUGGUAAGUGAUGUCCAUGAUACACUCCUUAUUUCCAGGCUAGUGACCCAUGUUGAUUUAUGGUUAAUCAGAUAAAGCGUUUUUAAAUGACAAAAAAAUAUUAAAAUAUCACCAUUGCUGUGAAAUCACAAAGGAAUGCUUAUAAAAUAUUCAACUCCAGAUAUAAAAUGCAUUUUAUGAUAGAAAUUAUGUUUUAAUUGUUACAGACUGUAAUCCAAAUUCAGUGAAAAUCCUGUUAUUAUAAUUUUAAGCAUGUUUAGAAAUUAUAGGUGUGGGAGGCAAUAACAAUUUUCACUUUGUGACAUUUUCAUAAUGAUACUAAAAAUAUUUUCAAAAAGUUAACAGCAUUAUAAAGAUGUGAAAAUUCAUGCAAUUAUGAAAAAACAUGCUACCAAAAUGAUUAAAUAUUUUACUGAUUAAAAAAUAUUGCAUAGGUUUAAAUUAAAUAUAACAGACCUGUUACCUUUCAGAAUUUGAACUCAUUUUAUCUGGCCUAAUCCAUGCCUCUCUUGGUCAUUCAUUCAUUCAUCCAUCUAGCAAAUAAAUUAUGUUUGCAAAUGAAGUGCUUGCACUUGGGAAGUUUUGUAAUAUAUU
Long non-coding RNA from Equus caballus (horse), 1977 nucleotides. Lineage: Eukaryota; Metazoa; Chordata; Mammalia; Perissodactyla; Equidae. The record is from Ensembl.